Long non-coding RNA from Brienomyrus brachyistius, 3444 nucleotides. RefSeq lists it as uncharacterized. The record is from RefSeq and is a predicted model, not a curated record. The transcript is spliced from 2 exons. Lineage: Eukaryota; Metazoa; Chordata; Actinopteri; Osteoglossiformes; Mormyridae.
GCUGCGUGUCGUUACAGAAGCAGGAGGCUUGGUAUCACUGUUCUGUGCUUCCAGAGUGGCAGUAAAGAACUUGAAAAUCGAGUGGAAACUUCUCCAGGAAGUUAAUUCAUGCCGUUCAGUACCUGCAAAGAAGCAAAGGAUACCACAGACAAAAGCUAAACAAGGCUCAUGGGCCUAGAUGGGAGAGUUGCGGAUGAGAAAUACCAUCACAACACCUUUAAAAAAAGAAAGUGGAGUACCGAAGAAUCUCACCAAUUUAGCCUUAAUAUGACCUUCACAUAUAAUAUUUAGUGUUUUUUACAGCCUUAAUAAACUGUGACAUGUCAAAUAACGUUGAAGUUUUGCGCAAACCAGCAACAUAAACAGUGAGAGCAAAACUGUGACAGGGUCCUCUUCCAUUUUCCCCGAUGUUUUCUAUAUCGGUGCUAUCAAAUUUGGCAGCCCUGAGAAAUGCAAUUAAACACUAGCUUUAAGGCAGCCGCCAGUGAAUGUGCUCUGAUGGCUGCAGAAAUGACCCUUGCUUAUUAGAUUAACUCCUAGCUGGCCAGUAUUAAUGAUGACAGCCAAGGUGAAGGGAGUAUGUGGGAAGAGAACACUGGGGAAGAUUUGGUGACUGAAUGAUUACUGUUUUGGGUCAAGUUUAUCAAACUACAAAUCAUUAAGAUAAUACCCUUUGCAAAAACAUAUCUCACUUGUGUAGGGUAAGCUGGUAGACUUUCACUGAAAAUGCUCAACAUACCAAAAACCUUUUAUAGAAAUCUCAUGUUCCUAAUAGGAGAUGAUGUGCAACAUAUCUCUUAGUGCAUUUAAACAGCAUUUUCAGAGGUUAAAACAACACUUAACAUUUUGAUAUCUAAUGUAAGUGCUAUCUACACACUACAACCUAGCUUAAAUGUAUUUAGUGAAAAAAUGCCAUCCAUUAUUUUGACUGAAUGGUUUAAAAAGAACUUCCAAAAGUAAAUUUCCUUGAAAACAAACUCUACUGACUUAGACUGACACGGCUAUCAUAUAAUUAAUAGAGAAUGGCUGCCUUACAUAAAAUUUUUCACUUUUACCAUUAGCUACAAGUGUUACAGAUACUAUUUAAAAAAAAGUUUUAAUUACGAACAGAGUUCAGGAUUGUGAAGAUAGCUCAAAUAGCUGUCAAACUAGAGACCUAUUACUCUGCUAGGUCUACAGACUGCAAGUGGCCAACAAACUGCUCCUCUGCUUGGUACUAGAUUGCUCGCCUAUAAUCAGUGCGCAGGCAGAAUGAACAGGAAGGCAGCACACGCUGAUUUAAAUGCAUUAACCUGGGAGUAACGAGCCUUGCAGACAUAAUUAGAAACAACUAACUACAAAAUCAGUAACAACUAAAUUAGGGCAGAAGUCACGGCGCUUGUUCAAAUUUUGAAACCAUCAGAGCUCUUUUGUUUUCAACAAUUUUUGUUAUGUUUUUUUCUCCUCUAAUAAUUCACUGUGACGGAGGGAACAGAGGAAGCUUUUUUUUGUAUGGAAGAUUUCGCCUCCCCUGUCAAAUUGACUGGAUCACUUUCAAGAUAAUUGAGUUUGAUCUCCCUGUGACUUGAACUUUGCAAGUUUUUUUUUUUACUCUUAUUGCUUCUUUAUGAUCAUUAUUAAUGUGUGCAAUGAGAUAUGACAGUGAUCCUGUCGUAACUAAGGGCAAUCCUGUUUUAUUACCAAAAGUUAAAUUUGGUAACAAGGACUAUUGUGGUGAUUGUAAAAUGAUAUAUAUUAGGUAAAUGUAAAGUAAUUCAAAGUAAUGCUACCAGUAAUACUUCGGAAAAAUAUCUAGGCUUCUUUUAUAAUUUUAGUUUCCACCUGAGGUACAUUGUUUAAAGUUUUGGUUUGUUUGUACUCAUGACUUAUUUGAACUAAACUUUGUCUAAUCCAGAGUCACAUAAUUACAUUAUAAUUCGUAAUUGAAAACAAAGAACAUGGAACAAAGUGAUAAUUUAUUAAUCAGCACUUGCAUGUUUUAACACUUAACUCGUAUAAAUAUCUACCUACUCAUCUACCAACCACAUAUGUUGGUCAGGAUGACAAAGAGCCAAAAAGCCAUUUCAUGCAGCAUAAAGCUGGUUCAUCAUAGGGCGUGAACAUGCACACAGACACAGACAGACACACAUAUACACACAGACUGGAAACCCAUGUCACACAAGGACAACAUGCAACCUGCCCACACACAGGGCAGAGUUGGGAUUCAAACCCCCAACCCUGGAGAUGUGAGGUGCGACCCACCCACCGUGUCCUCAAGGACAAAUAAAGAAAUGCCCUGAUGAUUUUAUUCACAACACAUACACAUUACCAUAGGCACCGUUUGCUUCAAUUAUGUAAAGUGAAAAGAAAUACUUAAUCUGAAAAGAAAUGUUACCCUUCAGAAAUCACAGAUAACCAAUCCUACCGUCCUACAUUACAAUGAGUAUUAACAUUUAAGGUUUUAAAUUUUAGUAUUACACCUGAUAUACCAUUUUUGAAAAAGGGUCAUGUGGCAAGACCUUUCCAACUAGGCCAAAAGGGAAGAUCUUCUAAUUUUUUGUGUAUUGCACUACACACACAAACACACACAAACAAACAAACAAACAAACACACACACACACACACACACACACACACACACACACACACACACACACACAAAUCUGGUUUAAUGCCCAAAACAAAAAUGUUCAUGCCAAUUUGCACCAUACUAACCUUCACAUGAUAAUAACUACACACAAUCCAGCAUUACAGCGUUUGUUCAUAUUUAAUGAACAUGUGUAAGUGGGGUCCUUUGUAGUACUGUCUUAAUUACUUUACUAGUUGAAGCAAAUCUCAUUAUGCAAUGGAGAAAGAUGGAAGACUAGAUGUUGAGCUUAUUAGGACCUGCCAUGUACUGGUAAAUGGAAAGGGAAUGCAGAUUUGCCAAAUUCCAAAUGUAUAACACAAUUAAUUUUUUUAUACGAAUCUAACUAAUUCUGGAGACAAAGUUUUUCAGCAACUGAAGUAAGGAAAGCUACAGUCUAGUAAUGAAUGUUGCCCAAUAAUGACUUUUAAUAUUUUUAAAUUUCACCAGUACAUUUGAAUUACUGGCAUUUGAUUAAAAACUUAAAAAAAAAAUUAAACUACUGAACAAAUGUCUACAGGAUGUAGCUCUUCAUAUGUAGCAUAUUUUGGUAUCUGCCUAUUGGCACUUGUCUGACGUAAUUGGGGCACAUUCUUUAAUUUAAAUAAUUCAGUUAAACUGUAGGGACAUGAAAUUAAUUUCUGUCACCCUGAAUAUUACCACAGCUCUUGAAUUGUUCUGGAACCAGUUUGCCCAAAAACUUUUUAAAUGUUUUCAACUUGUCAUUUGGUUCCAUCAUGUUAACUUGUGCUUUUAAGUAAACAUGUUGCAAAUAUGUUGUAAUGUCAAGUGUAUUAAUAAAACAAAAUAAAGCAAAUUUGCAAGAUCUUCAGCUAAAA